ACACAAUUUCAGUUGCAAUAAACAUUUCUGGGAUGCUGGCGGCAAGUUCGGAAUUAUGGCGUCAUUUUCUAAAAUAUUUCUACUACUAUUGAGCGCAUUUAUAAAGCUGCAUUGCAUUUGUUCACAACCGCUAAAAGAUUCCUAUGUAUGGGGGCAGGAGCCGCCAAAAGCCAAAAAUGACUCGAUGCUAGAAAGAGUUCCCUUGGUUGUCGUGUUCGUGUUCAUUUCAAUAUGUGUUCUCUGGUUCGCAGCAGUAUUUAUAUCUUUGUGUUGUUCAAAUGUGUGUUGCUGUAAGCAAAUGCCACGCAGAAACGGCGUAACUGUGUAUAUAAUACAGAACUGAGCAUUCAAUCAGUUCGGAUUGUGAAAUUAUAACCUUAGAUUUAAUAUGUGUAUAUUUUUUUACAAAUAUUUAUAAAUUAAUAUAAACUAAACUUGUAAUUAAAAUAGAACAUUUUAUAUUAUAUUGCUGCUGCAAUUGAAUUCAAAGUGCGUUAUUCGAUGAAAACGUGAAGGGAUUGCAACCACAUUUUGUAUUCUAUUAACCUGUACUAUAGACCAUAAUCUUGCUUACCUCAAAUACUAAAUUGUAUUUUAUGUACGAAAAUAUCAUAUGUCAGCCUACCUAACAUAACUAUUAUAGAAUAUAAUAUUAACCUUGCAAAACUCGA
Bactrocera tryoni is the source of this 671-nucleotide long non-coding RNA. RefSeq lists it as uncharacterized. The record is from RefSeq and is a predicted model, not a curated record. The transcript has 2 exons. Lineage: Eukaryota; Metazoa; Arthropoda; Insecta; Diptera; Tephritidae.